Molecule: unclassified non-coding RNA, 17 nt
Filed under: Mus musculus (house mouse)
Lineage: Eukaryota; Metazoa; Chordata; Mammalia; Rodentia; Muridae
Description: oocyte_clustered_small_RNA11024
Source: RNAcentral
CGCUGCUUGCCCGGUGG